Molecule: small nucleolar RNA, 107 nt
Organism: Humulus lupulus (European hop)
Lineage: Eukaryota; Viridiplantae; Streptophyta; Magnoliopsida; Rosales; Cannabaceae
Source: RefSeq, a predicted model, not a curated record
AUUUGGUGGUGAGGGCAUCUAGCACAUAACCUCUUAAACCACUCCCAAUACUCAUAUAAUGACUCCCUAGUCUAUUGGUGAAUGCCACAAAUUUCCUUCCUUAUGCU